GGGAAACACUGUCGCUCUCUGGAAAGAAGCUGAGGGUGGUCAGGAAGGCCUCUUGGAAGAGGAGUCACUUGAACAAAGAUGUCAGUGAAGUGAGGAGGCCAACCAUGAGGAAAUCUAUGGAAGAAUAUUCCAGACAGGCAAAAAAAUGAGCACACCACUUCAGAGAUGAGCACUCACUCCCAGAGAAGCCAGCUGCCAUGUUGUGAAGGCACUAAAACAGCCUAUGCAGAGGUCCACAUGUUGAAGAACUGAGGCAUUCAGCCAACAGCCAACAAGGAACCGAGGUCUGGCAGUGACAACAGGAGAGAGAUUGGAAGCAGAUCCUCUAGCCCCAGUCAAGCCAUCAGUCGCCUGCAGCCCUAGCUGACAACUUGACUGUGACCUCAUGGGAAACUCUGAGCCAAACCACCCCACUAAGCUCUGCCUAGAUUCCUGACCCACAAAAACAGUGAGAUAAUAAAUGUUUGUUGUUUUAAGCUGCUAAGGUUUGAGGUAACUUGUAACAUAGCAACAGAUAACUAAUAUGACGGGGUUUGAUUAAUUUGCUGAUCUAAAGAGCUGAAUAUUCCUUGAGGGCAGGAGUCAUGUCUUAAUAUUUAAGGCCUCUUGUUGCAUGCAGUACAUGGUCUGUGUUCAACAAAUAUGUUGCAACCUGAAAAGGUAAAAAGAAAACUGGAGAAGCUGGCAAAGUAGUCUGGACACAUCCUGGUAGGGACCCAAUAAAGGGUCAUGAGAUAUAACCAUUCAGGGUAAAGAUUUGUUUGAAAUAAAAUGUGGUAAUGACUUUAUUUCUUGAUACUGCUUUAAGGAUUUGUAUUGCUUGUAAGUGUAUGUACUUUAAUAAUCUUACGUGCUUCAGAAGUCCAUAAAUCCAAAAUGACUCCAAAUUGUAGAGCUCUAAACGUGUAACAACUGAUUGAUCCCAUUAAUGCUUGGACACUUGUCAGAAACAAGGAGAAAUAGAGUGCAAUGGACUGAAUAUUUGUGCUCCUCCAAAAUUCAUGUAUUGAAAUCCUAACUCUCAAUGUGAUGUUAUCAGGAAGUGGGGCCUUUGAGAGGUAAUUAGGACAUGAUGGGAGAACUGUCAUGAAUGGGAUUAGUGCCCUUAUAAAGGGACUCCAGAGACCUCUCUAGCCCUCUCUUUCCAUCAUGUGAGGAUACAAGGAGAAGUUGGUAGUCUGCAACCUGCAAAAAAUCCUUACAGAACCCGAUCAUACUGGCACCCUGAUCUCGGACUUAUAGCCUC
Balaenoptera acutorostrata (minke whale) is the source of this 1246-nucleotide long non-coding RNA. RefSeq lists it as uncharacterized. The transcript is spliced from 3 exons. The record is from RefSeq and is a predicted model, not a curated record. NCBI's taxonomy places the organism in Eukaryota, Metazoa, Chordata, Mammalia, Artiodactyla, Balaenopteridae.